RNAcentral lists this ribosomal RNA (274 nucleotides) under uncultured bacterium. RNAcentral describes it as "partial 16S ribosomal RNA". It matches the Rfam family "Bacterial small subunit ribosomal RNA", at positions 524 to 796 of the family's 1533-position model. The record is from RNAcentral.
UACGGAGGGUGCGAGCGUUAAUCGGAAUUACUGGGCGUAAAGCGCACGCAGGCGGUUUGUUAAGCAAGAUGUGAAAGCCCCGGGCUCAACCUGGGAACUGCAUUUUGAACUGGCAGACUAGAUCUUGGAGAGGGGGGUGGAAUUCCAGGUGUAGCGGUGAAAUGCGUAGAGAUCUGGAGGAACGUCAGUGGCGAAGGCGGCCCCUGGCCAAAGCACUGACGCUCAUGGUGCAAAGUGUAGGGUAGCGGAACAGGAUUAGAUACCCGUGUAGUCC